This 672-nucleotide long non-coding RNA is filed under the name Capra hircus (goat). RNAcentral describes it as "lncRNA (ENSCHIG00010014965.1)". The record is from RNAcentral. Lineage: Eukaryota; Metazoa; Chordata; Mammalia; Artiodactyla; Bovidae.
AAACCACAUGCCCAGAAUACUAAGGUUGGGCGGCUAGAUGAGGCAAGUUGUGUGUGUGUGUGUGUGUGUGUGUNNNNNNNNNNNNNNNNNNNNNCGCGCGCGCGUGCACGCGCCCCUGGGCGCAGGGUUGUGUGCGAGGACAAUUAUUUUCAUCAGCUGCUUGCUCGCCCGCGCCCGACUGCUCCUCUUUGCAGAACCGACGGCCUCCGGGGCUUUCAACUCUGCGAGCAAAGCUGGAGGAAUUCCUGUAUUGAGAUACCCUCCUUGAGAGCGACCAACUCUCUCGGCCCUGGGGAGCCGAGAAAGGGAGUCGAGGGUACCCGGGUCGCCCCCCACCCCAGGCAGGGCAGCACUCGAGGACUGCGAGGCUCCGGUUUCAGGCCCCCGGCUACUUCCGCGAGGACUGCCCGCGAGCGACGGCGGCAGCCCCGGGGCCCAGGUGGGCGGGAGGCAGGUGCCAUUCUCCUCUUGUUCAGUCACCAAGUUGUGUCUGACGCUUUGGGACUCCAUGGACUGCAGCACGCCAGGCCUCCCUGUCCUUCACCGUCUCCUGGAGAUUGCCCAAGUUCCUGUCUCCUCUUAGAGUGUCACAUCCAACAAAUCCUUGCCAAAUCUAAUGUCAUGAAGAUCUUCCCUGGAAUGUGGGCUGUUGUACCCAAGGCUGCCUGCUGA